GUGCUCACUUUUGGCAGCACAUAUAGUAAAAUGGAAAGGAUAGAGAUUAGCAUGGCCCCCCCCAUGAAAGGAUGACAUGCAAAUUUCCGAAGAAUUCCAUAUUUGG
Molecule: small nuclear RNA, 106 nt
Organism: Dromiciops gliroides (monito del monte)
Lineage: Eukaryota; Metazoa; Chordata; Mammalia; Microbiotheria; Microbiotheriidae
Source: RefSeq, a predicted model, not a curated record